UUCAGAGGUUAGGGGGUAAAUGUCUUCCUUUUCUCUUUUUCAUAUCAGCUGAUGAAGCAAGAUGACAGGGAGAUAAGGAUGAGACUAUUUUCUGGUCCUGAUCCUGGUGCUAGUGCUGGUGCUGGGGCUGGUGCUGGUCCUGGUCCUGAUCCUGGUGCUGGCGCUGGUCCUGGUCUUGACCCUUGCUGUUUAACUGAUCAGAUGCUGUCCACCGUCCACUGUGCCUCAUUUGAAGAGGAUGUAGAAGCUCAGAGGAACCUCCAUCUGGAGCAGCAGGUGAAGAGCAGCAGGAAAUGCAUCACUCAGAGCUGUAGCGCGCUGAGACAGCUGCUACCUGCUGUUCACAGGGGCCAUGUUGACGUGGUAACAGUGCUGGAGACAAGUGUGGCAUUCCUUGAGACGGUCCAGGACUUAGUCCCAGCCGAGGACUCUGGAAUCCAGGUAAAACACAGCGGACUAGACCCCACCCAUCGUAAAGCUCCAGCCAAUAGAAUGUAGAGGUUUAAACUGAUGAAACUGACUCAGCCUAACGUUUAUUUACAGCAUUAUGAAACUUACCCAGCAGAACACAACAAAUAAACACUUCUAAUACUGACACGAUGAAAUGGACCCAGUCCAACUUACAGGUACAGCACCAUGAAAUAGACCCAGCCCAGUGCAGAGGUACAGCACCAUGAAAUAGACCCAGCCCAGUGCAGAGGUACAGCACCAUGAAAUAGACCCAGCCCAGUGCAGAGGUACUGCACCAUGAAAUAGACCCAGCCCAGUGGACAGAACAAUAUUAACUUUAUGCAUUUCAAGUCAAAGUGCUUUACAGGGCAACAGAAAAAUUAUAAUCAAAUGAUAAAAUGAAAUGGCUGAGAACAACAACAAUAACAACGAUGAUGAUUAUGGUGGUGAUGGUAAUGAUUAGGGGUGUAACGGUACACAAAAAUCACAGUUCAGUUCGGUUUGGUUCUCAGUUAAGGGGAAAAAUGAAAAAAACCUGCUGAUAUCAGAGCUGGUCUGACUUUCUGGCUGAAGUGUGAAUGAGAAGAAGCUUCAUAACGGGGCUCUAUCACCUAAAAGAGGAAAUAUAUUUUAAUGUAAUUGCUUUUUAAAAAACGAUACCAUUUAGUUAGGCUCUUGUUUACCAGCAUAAAUAUACUAGUAGGCUAAAAAAAAUACACAAUCUAGUCAUUUAUCUGUAGCAAAGAGCAGUAAUGUAAAGUUACUGUAAGCUGACCUUCAUCUUCAGUUUAAAACCUCAGUUCUGAACAACGGAGUAUGGCCGUAGAUCUGCUGCUAUGAAAACACCAUGGACUUGGUUAUUGCUUUAGCCCGUUCUGAAAUGCUAGGCAGGGUUUGAUGAAAUGAUGCUGGGAGCAUCGUUUGUACAGUUCUCUGUUUUUUCCUAGCAGAGGGGAUAGUUACGCUUGGAAGGAACUUUUUCUAAUGUGUGUCUAAGUUUGACGUGUUGCUGGAUGCAGAGCUGAGGACCGCUUCAGUGUCGGCAUACGGCUUUCGUCUUGUCCACUUGUUCUUCUACUUUUUAGUACUUCACUGGGAAACCGAAGUGAUCCCAAACUGGUGAUUUUAAUGAUGCCGGAGCAUCUUCCAGCUCUAGCUUCUUCUAGUUGUUGCUAGCAUUAGCUAUGAAGCUCCGGUGUUGUACUAAGUUGUGCCUGCAUGUCAGGGCCGGCUCUCCCUAUACGCAAAUUAAGCGGCUGCUUAGGGCCCCGCCGCCACUAGGGGGCCCCCGAAUUGACUGUCUGAUGGUCUGACCCACAGACUGCCAUCUAACAUUACUUGCUUCGGACUAACCUGGCAACCACCCAACACGCGUUGUAAGUUCAGUGUCGCUGAUUGGGCGGCAGCCGCAGCCUCAGACGUGUCAAAAUAUUUGGUUGGUUGAUCAAAAACUGGCAUCAAGGAGGAUGUUUAGAAGAAGAACAG
This is a long non-coding RNA of Acanthochromis polyacanthus (spiny chromis), 1935 nucleotides long. RefSeq lists it as uncharacterized. The record is from RefSeq and is a predicted model, not a curated record. Lineage: Eukaryota; Metazoa; Chordata; Actinopteri; Pomacentridae. The transcript has 2 exons.